GAUCUACUCCCUCCGUCUAAAAAUACUUUUCACUGAAAUGGAUGUAUCUAGAUGUAUUUUAGUUCUAAAUACAUCCAUUUUCAUUCAUUUUGAAGACAAGUAAUUCCGGACGGAGGGAGUACAUC
Molecule: non-coding RNA, 125 nt
Organism: Triticum aestivum (bread wheat)
Lineage: Eukaryota; Viridiplantae; Streptophyta; Magnoliopsida; Poales; Poaceae
Source: Rfam